AUGACUUGCAAUCCUAAAUGGGAAGAGAUAAAGAAUGAGUUGCUGCCUGGUUAAACGGCGCAAGACCGACCUGAUAUUGUGGCUCGGGUGUUCUAUGGCAAACUAGAACACAUGAAAUACGUGUUGUUCAAGAAGCAUAUCCUGGGUGUUGUUGUCGCUUACGUAUACGUAGUCGAGUUCCAAAAAAGGGGCCUCCCCCACGCACAUUUUUUGUUGAUCAUGCACUCAACAUAUAAGGUUAUCGUCCCGGAGCAGUAUGACCGACUCAUUUCCGCGGAGCUCCCAAACAAGCGCAAGUAUCCAGAAUUGUAUGCAAUGGUGGUAAAACAUAUGAUGCACAGACCAUGCGGUGCUCUUAAUCCCAAGAAUGUUUGCAUGCAAGAAAAUGGUUGCAAGUGUAGAUAUCCACGGCUGUUCAAUGAGAACACAGCACAGGGGAAGGACUCAUACCCAGUUUAUCGACGGAGAGAUGAUGGAAGACGUGCUAAGGUCCGAGGGAAGAUGUUGGACAACCGUUGGGUUGUGCCUUAUAACCCAUACCUUCUGCGGAUGUUCAAUUGCCACAUAAACGUUGAGGUCUGCUCUAGCAUAAAGGCCGUCGAAUAUCUUUACAAGUACAUUUACAAGGGCCAUGAUAAGGCUUCUUUCAGCAUCGACCAGCCCGACGCCAAUGGUAACAUUGAUGAGAUCAAGAGAUACGUUGAUGCAAGGUGGGUCACCCCUCCGGAGGCUAUGUGGAGGAUAUUUGGAUUCCCACUUUGCGCCAAUUACCCGCCUGUCUUGUAG
Molecule: ribosomal RNA, 786 nt
Filed under: Triticum aestivum (bread wheat)
Lineage: Eukaryota; Viridiplantae; Streptophyta; Magnoliopsida; Poales; Poaceae
Description: partial small subunit ribosomal RNA
Source: RNAcentral